GUCACAGGUGCUAGCCUCACUGCCUCCUGGUAACAGAGGCCGAAGUACAAGCACAUCAGAGCGUGAGAAGGCAGAAGACACCCCACUCUGAGCUCUGAACUUGGCACAGGCCCCAUCCUUGGCCGUCACACCCGGUCCCGCAGCACCUAGAAGUCCAGAGAAGCUGCGACCACAGCUAGGCGGGAGCCUCCGUUUCCACCGACAGGGCCACACGGAGAAGUGCGCCUUCUCCACUCAUGAGACAGCCGGGCGCUAGGAACAGACCGCUCCUCCUACCCCCCAAAACCGCCUCCAGAUGUCGGGCCCCCCAGUGAUGGACUGCCCUUGUCCACGGAGAUAAUCCCUGAACCCAGAGACUGUGGGUCCCAAGAGAACCCUAAGUGAGCUCCGCGCCCCCUGCCCCCCACCAAGCCCCAGGCAGUUACUUUAUUAACCUGGCAAACUGACUUAAGCUCCCUCGGCCGGGCCCGAAGAUGAGCCAUGAGUAUUCAAGUCACUGCUGCAGAAACACAGAAGCUGUGGCACCAAGGAACAAGCUCAGCAGACACAGGUCUUCCAAGGGUCGAGCGCCGGACCGUCACUUACUUGUAGGCGUUAGGCAGCAAAAAUACUACGUGUUGUGCCCCUUCUCUCUCUAGAACCAUCUCGAGGAUCCUGGCCAACAGUGGGCCCCGCGAGGUGGGGAGGCAGGCGAGGCAAAGAGAGCACGGGCUCGGGGCUCCCCGCCGGCCGCUAGCGCAGACAGUGCCACCUGCUGAGUGAGCCCCGUCCUGGCUGUGGGUCCCUGCUAACCCUCUGGUCACUUUCCUCUCUGAGCCUCAGCUUGCUAACCUAGAUGUCAUCCGGGCCCUUGUCCCCCAGGGCUGGCAAGAGGAGGGCAACAGGAGGGCCGUGAAGGCGGUUCACUGCCCGGUCCUUGGCGUCCACGGUUUGCCCCGACAGGGGACUUUCGGGUUUGGUUGGAGGCCUCGCGUAUCUGCCAGGCUCUAAAGACCCUGCAGGGGCCACAUUGGCAUCUGCCCGCAUACGAGCAGGUGGAUGGAUGUAGGAAACGCCCAACAGGACUCAGCCCGGGGAGGCACAGAGUCUUAGCAGAGGCCACGAUCCGAAGACACAGGCCCUGGUGCCUGCCAGAGAGGGAAGGAGCGGCAGGUGUGCGCUUACGAGGCGCCAGACCCCACGGUGGCCCUCGCGCCCUCUCCCCAGCACUGCGGCGGGACAGACGCCCUUCAUGGACAAGGAGGGACGCUGAGGCUUACAGAAGAUAACCACGUGUAACAAGAACAAAAGGCAAAGUGCCAACUUUAUUUGCGCUCCUGUCACAUUCCGGGCCCUGGAGGCUAAGUGCUUUAUACACAUUUCAAAACGAAUCUUCGAAACCACCCUGGGAAGGAGGGCUUAUUAGCCCAGGGCCACAGGUGGCGGAACAAAGACUUAAUAGAAGAUCUCACUGUUGCCAAACAGAUGCUUUCCCACUACCGGGAACCGCCUCCCACCGCAGGCGGGCAGGAAGGGACCGCCUGGUAUGGAGGGGAUGUAACAGAAAGCGGCACAGGGUCGGGCAGCAGGAGGGCGUCUACAGUGGCUGCUGGACAGAGACGGUGGCUGCUGACGGUGCACGGCUCCGGCUCUAACAGGCUGGACCGUGGAGAGCAAUGUCGAGGGGGAGAAGUCAGCUCCGGGGACACAGUGUACGAAACACACACGCAGAGAAGUUCAAACACAGCCUCUGUCGUCUCCAAGCUGCCGUCCCCCUUGCCCUUGGGGGAGGAGGGGGAGGUACAUGGUCUCUCGGGCGGGGAGAAGGCACACACUUGUGUAAAAACUGGUCGAGCCGCACACUUCCCGCUUCUGCACGGCGCCAGUGGGGGUCACACUACAGGUGAAGGAGAAGCUAGAACCCUCUUGGUGCAACCGGACCCCCUCCCGCCAGAGGCCAUGCCUGCAGAAGCGGAUGGAGCUCGGCCAGUGAACUGGGGCAGGCUGCUGCGGGUCACGGCGCAGGCUGUCACCGAGGCCACGCCUACCCGGGGACCCCACCCUCGGCCCACAGAAGGCAGAGGAGCCCUGGGCUCCUAGGGGACCCACGUGGGUGACUUCCUCACAACAGUCCACGUGGCUGGCAACGAGGGUCGAAGAGCUGACUUCCCUGUGACGCGGGUGAAUUUAAUAGACGUAAUAAAGCAACGAGUUCUGAUUUCCAGUAA
Long non-coding RNA from Suricata suricatta (meerkat), 2207 nucleotides. RefSeq lists it as uncharacterized. The record is from RefSeq and is a predicted model, not a curated record. NCBI's taxonomy places the organism in Eukaryota, Metazoa, Chordata, Mammalia, Carnivora, Herpestidae. The transcript is spliced from 2 exons.